RNAcentral lists this small nuclear RNA (319 nucleotides) under Camelus dromedarius (Arabian camel). Its description in RNAcentral is "7SK RNA". It matches the Rfam family "7SK RNA". Rfam says of the family: 7SK was discovered as an abundant small nuclear RNA in the mid-70s but a possible function has only recently been suggested. Two independent studies have found that 7SK RNA binds the CDK9/cyclin T complex (known as elongation factor P-TEFb). RNAcentral also lists the same sequence under 1 other name. Lineage: Eukaryota; Metazoa; Chordata; Mammalia; Artiodactyla; Camelidae. The record is from Rfam by way of RNAcentral.
GGAUGUGAGGGCGAUCUGGCUGCAACAUCUGUCACCCCAUGGAUCGCCAGGUUUGAUUCGGUUGAUCUGGCUGGCUAGGCAGGUGUCCCCUUCCUCCCUCGCCGCUCCAUGUGCGUGCCUCCUGAAGCUGCCAGCGCUCGGUCAAAGAGGACGACCAUCCUCAAUAGAGGAGGCCCGUUCUUCUCGGUCAAGGGCACACGAGUAGCUGCCUUCCCCUGCUAGACCCUCCAAACAAGCUCCCAAAAUAAUGUACCUGGAAACACUUCGCUGUACACUGAACUGCAUCAGCAUCACUUUUUAUUAAUUCCAAGUGAUCAAG